Molecule: transfer RNA, 72 nt
Filed under: Ictidomys tridecemlineatus (thirteen-lined ground squirrel)
Lineage: Eukaryota; Metazoa; Chordata; Mammalia; Rodentia; Sciuridae
Description: Spermophilus tridecemlineatus (thirteen-lined ground squirrel) tRNA
Rfam family: tRNA
About the family: Transfer RNA (tRNA) molecules are approximately 80 nucleotides in length. Their secondary structure includes four short double-helical elements and three loops (D, anti-codon, and T loops).
Source: Rfam by way of RNAcentral
GGGGGUAUAGCUCAGUGGCAGAGUACUUGCCUAGUAAGCUUGAGGCCCUGGGUUUGAUUCUCAGCACUGCCA